AUGAAGAGCGCUGGAAAUCCGACCCUUUGUCGAACAAAGUGGAGAAAAGUAGCCUAUGGGGGCAUGCAGCCUGGCUACGAUGAUAACUACACCGACGACUCCUUCCUGGAGGAGAUGGUCAUGAACGCCAAUGUCGUCAAGAGGGACUUCCUGAGGGUGAUGGUCGACUCUGUCUCCAUCUCCCAGUAUCUCUGCAUCGUCGCCCUUGUGGUUUCGACAUGGACACAUACACUGAAUUUGGCCAUCGACGAGAUCACUCUCCUGAAAUUCGACAUUGGUCUGCUGCUUGUUGGGUUCUUGGUCCUCCUGCUCACCACCAGCCCAUUCUCGCUGAAUCUACUCUUGAAGUAUGUCCUCAACAUAUCAUUCUUCACCAGUGGCCUUUAUGUUCUAGCGCCAAUUUGCCAUACCCUCACUAGGUCCAUCAGUUCAGAUUCAAUCUGGGCACUUGCUGUGUUCCUUCUGCUGGUUCAUCUCUUCUUGCAUGACUACUCUGGCUCCACUAUAAGGCCUCCAGGUGCACUCAACAACCCAAAGCUGACCAGCAACAUCUCCUUGAACGCGUCGAUAGUGGCGUCUGUGCUUGUGGCGUCGCGCCUGCCGUCUUGGCUGCACGUCUUUGCAAUCAUGCUCUUCUCAUUGCAGGUCUUCCUGUUUGCGCCGCUGGUCACAUUUUGUAUCAAGAAGUACUCCUGUAGACUCCAUUUGAUAUUCUCCUUUGCUCUCAUGGUCAUGACCCUGGGUGUCACGUACCAGCUGCAUCGAAUGCUCUUCAUUUUACUGCUGGCUCUGGUCGUUUUCAUCUCGCUUGUUUGCCCCUACUGGCUUAUCAGGAUUCAGGAGUACAAGUUUGAGAUCAAUGGCCCCUGGGAUGAAGCUAAACUCUGCUUUGAUAUAACUGAAUGA
Molecule: ribosomal RNA, 906 nt
Filed under: Triticum aestivum (bread wheat)
Lineage: Eukaryota; Viridiplantae; Streptophyta; Magnoliopsida; Poales; Poaceae
Description: partial small subunit ribosomal RNA
Source: RNAcentral